Molecule: ribosomal RNA, 502 nt
Filed under: uncultured bacterium
Lineage: Bacteria
Description: partial 16S ribosomal RNA
Rfam family: Bacterial small subunit ribosomal RNA
Source: RNAcentral
AACGAACGCUGGCGGCGUGUUUAAGACAUGCAAGUCGCACGGAACAAGACAUGUAGUAAUACUUGUUUUGUUUAGUGGCGCACGGGUGAGUAACACGUGAAUUACAUGCCCUAUAGUGGGGAAUAGCCAGGGAAACUUGGAUUAAUACCCCAUGGUCUCGCAAGAGUAAAGGUGGCCGCAAGGCUGUCGCUAUAGGAUUGGUUCGCGCCCUAUCAGCUUGUUGGAGAGGUAACGGCUCACCAAGGCAAUGACGGGUACCUGGUCUGAGAGGACGAUCAGGCACACUGGAACUGAGACACGGUCCAGACACCUACGGGUGGCAGCAGUCGAGAAUAAUUUACAAUGGGGGCAACCCUGAUGGUGCAACGCCGCGUGGAGGAUGACGGUCUUCGGAUUGUAAACUCCUGUCAUCUGGGAGAAAGACCUGACGGUAAAUAGCCGGCAGGGUUGAUAGUACCAGAAGAGGAAGGGACGGCUAACUUCGUGCCAGCAGCCGCAGUAA